AUUGCUUCUCGGCCUUUUGGCUAAGAUCAAGUGUAGUAUCAAAAUAAGCCAAAUAAAUACAUCUGCAAAACGUGUAGUAUGUGUUUGUCGUGAACUUUUGAAUGCCACUGUAUACACAUUUCUGUUUUUCAACAAAAUUCAUUGAUAUUUUGAUUGUAUUUCCCAUGAACUUUCUGGAGUGCCCUUG
Molecule: small nuclear RNA, 187 nt
Organism: Ochotona curzoniae (black-lipped pika)
Lineage: Eukaryota; Metazoa; Chordata; Mammalia; Lagomorpha; Ochotonidae
Product: U2 spliceosomal RNA
Exons: 1
Source: RefSeq, a predicted model, not a curated record